Long non-coding RNA from Asparagus officinalis (garden asparagus), 3839 nucleotides. RefSeq lists it as uncharacterized. Lineage: Eukaryota; Viridiplantae; Streptophyta; Magnoliopsida; Asparagales; Asparagaceae. The transcript has 10 exons. The record is from RefSeq and is a predicted model, not a curated record.
UAAAAAUCCCAUUCCCAAUUUCAGCCGCACCUCCUCAGAUCCUCAUCCUCUCUUCUCUCCUCACGCCUCAGUUCCUCAGAUCCGCCGCUCAGCACUUCGCCGCCAACCGCCACUUCACUUAAAAUCCGACUCUCUCUCACUCCGUCGACUCCGACUCUCCUCAGUUCCUCAGAUCCGCCGCUCGACACUUCGCCGCCAGCCGCCACUUCACCUAAAAUCCGACUCUCCCUCUCACUCUCUGUCCGACUCUCUCAGUUCCUCAGAUCCGCCGCUCGGCACUCCGCAGUCUUCAUGGGGACAUCCGAGGCUGAAACAUCUCCUCUGGAUCUAUCUGGGUACGCUGAUGUUUUGUUUUUAGACCACGAGAGUAUGCAGUUGAGCUCUUGUGAAAUCACACCUGCAGGUGUCCUGAUUCAGGUUCAUUCUAUACGUUGGAGGCUAACACAUGUUUGUAGUUUUUGGAAAACUGGUAGAAGUAUCUCUCUGACAAACACAAUAGAGAUUGCAAGUUGAGGGUUUUGUUUCUGUCAUGUUAUUCCUCCUCCUUUAAUAACACUUCUGUCGAUAUUUUGGAGCAUGUUAUGAAGCUGGAAGCAAAGCCAUUAAAGAAUACUCCACCCUUUUCUCUCAGCAAAGGUAAAAAAGGGCCAUUAAGAAGCUAGCAGCGUUUGAAAAGGACUUAGAAGUGAAAGUCUAAUCAUAUCUUUGGAUUCUAUUUCUGCUGAUGUGAAACUAGAAUUGCCGUCCUUGGCCAUGAUCAUUUCCUCACCCAAAAAAUAAAAAUAAAUAAAUACAAUGACAAAGAUGAUGCUGAAAGAAGAUUUGUUUUAUGAUUAUAAGCUUGGGCAACUUGUGGUAACAUGAAAAUCCCUUUGGUCUGCAAGGCCCAUUUUUGGUGGAACAUGAUAUAUCAACAUCAGAAUUCUAAGAUUUAUUCUCUUAAAAGUUGUACCUCUUUGCUAUCAUUUUCGGCUGCAGACCAGCCACUUGCUCCGAUAAUAAUUAUUCUCCUGUCAUUUCUUCCAUCAUCAUAAGUACAUUAAUGGGCGUUUUGGUUAUUUACAGGAGGAGCAAUCUUAAGUUUUAGUGAGAUAUUUAUUCAUUAUAUGUUGUACUGGUGCUAUACUAACAAAGUUGGAUGAUGAUUGAAAAGGAGAAGCAUUUUGAGCGUUUAGGAGGUAUUUCUUCAGUAUAUCUUAAGAGCUUUUCAGCUUUGUUAUGUACACCUAUAAAAGUUCGUUUUGCUUUACGUAGGUCUGUAUUUAUGGGCACAUAUGAAAGACCAUAGAUAACCCUGCUCACUUCUUCCUUGAAUAAGGCCUAUUAUCCGUCAAAUUAUUUAUCAACAUUUAUCACCCUCAAAGUUAUAGGCUUAUAACUACUAGGUAUUGGCCCCAAGUUCUACUUGAACUUGUAAAUAUUUCUUAUCCUACCCGAUGCGAGACUAUAUUCACGCAUGAAUCCUGAAUUUACCCGUUAGUUCAACUGGUAAUAGUUCAGAAGCACCGCAAUAAUCUCCUCACUGUUGGUGAAACUCAGAGGGAAGCGAAAGCCCUUUAGAUAGAUUGUGCUUUUAUCAUGGAUUUACGGUUCAUUUCUUUCAUCUACAUGUAUAUUUUAAUGUUUGGUGGUGUUUCAAAUUGCCUAUGAAUGUGAUCAUUUUGCUUUACUUUACAAGUCAAUAUAUUUGGUUUAAUUUACAAACCAGUGGAGAACUACCUAUUUUGGUCCUUGUCAAUUGCAAUAUGUUUGAGAUUCGGAAUGUAUCAAAAGUUUGAGCUUGGCUGGAGAUCAAUCAUUGUGGUUACUCAAUGCAGACUCAAGGUCACGUGCCAAAUCUACAAGGUGUCCUGAUUCAGGUUCAUUCUAUACGUUGGAGGCUAACACAUGUUUGUAGUUUUUGGAAAACUGGUAGAAGUAUCUCUGACAAACACAAUAGAGAUUGCAAGUUGAGGGUUUUGUUUCUGGUUAUGAAGCUGGAAGCAAAGCCAUUAAAGAAUACUCCACCCUUUUCUCUCAGCAAAGGUAAAAAAGGGCCAUUAAGAAGCUAGCAUCUUUUGAAAAGGACUUAGAAGUGAAAGUCUAAUCAUAUCUUUGGAUUCUAUUUCUGCUGAUGUGAAACUAGAAUUGCCGUCCUUGACCAUGAUCAUUUCCUCACCCAAAAAAUAAAAAUAAAUAAAUAAAAUGACAAAGAUGAUGCUGAAAGAAGAUUUGUUUUAUGAUUAUAAGCUUGGGCAACUUGUGGUAACAUGAAAAUCCCUUUGGUCUGCAAGGCCCAUUUUUGGUGGAACAUGAUAUAUCAACAUCAGAAUUCUAAGAUUUAUUCUCUUCAGACUUGUACCUCUAUGCUAUCAUUUUCGGCUGCAGACCAGCCACUUGCUCCGAUAAUAAUUAUUCUCCUGUCAUUUCUUCCAUCAUCAUAAGUACAUUAAUGGGCGUUUUGGUUAUUUACAGGAGGAGCAAUCUUAAGUUUUAGUGAGAUAUUUCUUCAUUAUAUGUUGUACUGGUGCUAUACUAACAAAGUUGGAUGAUGAUUGAAAAGGAGAAGCAUUUUGAGCGUUAAGGAGUGGAGAACUACCUAUUUUGGUCCUUGUCAAUUGCAAUAUGUUUGAGAUUCGGAAUGUAUCAAAAGUUUGAGCUUGGCUGGAGGGCAAUCAUUGUGGUUACUCAAUGCAGACUCAAGGUCACGUGCCAAAUCUACAAGGUGUCCUGAUUCAGGUUCAUUCUAUACGUUGGAGGCUAACACAUGUUUGUAGUUUUUGGAAAACUGGUAGAAGUAUCUCUCUGACAAACACAAUAGAGAUUGCAAGUUGAGGGUUUUGUUUCUGGUUAUGAAGCUGGAAGCAAAGCCAUUAAAGAAUACUCCACCCUUUUCUCUCAGCAAAGGUAAAAAAGGGCCAUUAAGAAGCUAGCAUCUUUUGAAAAGGACUUAGAAGUGAAAGUCUAAUCAUAUCUUUGGAUUCUAUUUCUGCUGAUGUGAAACUAGAAUUGCCGUCCUUGACCAUGAUCAUUUCCUCACCCAAAAAAUAAAAAUAAAUAAAUAAAAUGACAAAGAUGAUGCUGAAAGAAGAUUUGUUUUAUGAUUAUAAGCUUGGGCAACUUGUGGUAACAUGAAAAUCCCUUUGGUCUGCAAGGCCCAUUUUUGGUGGAACAUGAUAUAUCAACAUCAGAAUUCUAAGAUUUAUUCUCUUAAAAGUUGUACCUCUUUGCUAUCAUUUUCGGCUGCAGACCAGCCACUUGCUCCGAUAAUAAUUAUUCUCCUGUCAUUUCUUCCAUCAUCAUAAGUACAUUAAUGGGCGUUUUGGUUAUUUACAGGUAUAACUACAACUAAAGCUACAAAUUGUUUGUUUCUUUUAUAGCUAGAGUUAUAUUGAUUUGGUUACCUUUUGUUUUAAACUAAACAGUCCCUAAUUGUAUGGUUAUGCAAAUUAUUAAACUAAACAGUAUACCGACAACUUGGGUAUAUAUCAGGGAAACUUAUUUUAAUUUCCCCCCCUCGAUUCUCCUAAAUCCCUCCUCCCUCGAUUACGGCGAGAUUUUGGCCCUGGAUUCCAUCCCAGCGAACCGAAGGAGGUUAUGCUGAAAGGCUUCAAGGUAUCGAAUUGAUCUCGUUAUCUUUUGAUUUGUCGGAUUGAAACCCUAGAUUUUGAGCUCAAUUUUAGCGAUUUCGGUUGUGUUUAGGGAUCUGGCUGGUGUUGAUCAGUUUGUUUGAAUUUGAUUCAGAUACUUAGAAUUUUGACUUAGUGUUAGGGUUUUGGAUUGGAAUUUGGUUGUGGAUGAUGAUGAUUGGUUGGGAUUAGGGUUUCUAAUAGGGGGAGCUAGGGUUUACGAAUCCAUGA